Molecule: ribosomal RNA, 253 nt
Filed under: uncultured bacterium
Lineage: Bacteria
Description: partial 16S ribosomal RNA
Rfam family: Bacterial small subunit ribosomal RNA
Source: RNAcentral
UACGGAGGGAGCUAGCGUUGUUCGGAAUUACUGGGCGUAAAGCGCGCGUAGGCGGCUUUGUACGUUAGAGGUGAAAGCCCGGGGCUCAACCCCGGAACUGCCUUUAAGACUGCAUCGCUUGAAUCCGGGAGAGGUGAGUGGAAUUCCGAGUGUAGAGGUGAAAUUCGUAGAUAUUCGGAAGAACACCAGUGGCGAAGGCGGCUCACUGGACCGGUAUUGACGCUGAUGUGCGAAAGCGUGGGGAGCAAACAGG